UGCGUAGGUGGUUACCUAAGCGCAAGGUUUAAUACAGCGGCUCAACUGCUGUCUGCCUUGCGAACUGGGUUACUUGAGUGCAGGAGGGGAAAGCGGAAUUCCUAGUGUAGCGGUGAAAUGCGUAGAUAUUAGGAGGAACACCGGCGGCGAAGGCGGCUUUCUGGACUGUAACUGACACUGAGGCACGAAAGCGUGGGGAGGCAAAACA
This 208-nucleotide ribosomal RNA is filed under the name uncultured bacterium. RNAcentral describes it as "partial 16S ribosomal RNA". It matches the Rfam family "Bacterial small subunit ribosomal RNA", at positions 568 to 776 of the family's 1533-position model. The record is from RNAcentral.